Molecule: ribosomal RNA, 437 nt
Filed under: uncultured Oscillospiraceae bacterium
Lineage: Bacteria; Bacillati; Bacillota; Clostridia; Eubacteriales; Oscillospiraceae
Description: bacterial SSU rRNA
Rfam family: Bacterial small subunit ribosomal RNA
Source: RNAcentral
ACGGAAGGCAGCAGUGGGGAAUAUUGGGCAAUGGGCGAAAGCCUGACCCAGCAACGCCGCGUGAAGGAAGAAGGCCUUCGGGUUGUAAACUUCUUUUACCAGGGACGAAGGACGUGACGGUACCUGGAGAAAAAGCCACGGCUAACUACGUGCCAGCAGCCGCGGUAAUACGUAGGUGGCAAUCGUUGUCCGGAUUUACUGGGUGUAAAGGGAGUGUAGGCGGAACUGUAAGUCAGAUGUGAAAUCCCGGGGCUCACCCCCGGAACUGCAUUUGAAACUGCAGUCCUUGAGUAUCGGAGAGGCAAGCGGAAUUCCUAGUGUAGCGGUGAAAUGCGUAGAUAUUAGGAGGAACACCAGUGGCGAAGGCGGCUUGCUGGACGACAACUGACGCUGAGGCGCGAAAGCGUGGGGAGCAAACAGGAUUAGAUACCCUGGUA